RNAcentral lists this ribosomal RNA (460 nucleotides) under uncultured bacterium. RNAcentral describes it as "partial 16S ribosomal RNA". It matches the Rfam family "Bacterial small subunit ribosomal RNA", at positions 338 to 795 of the family's 1533-position model. The record is from RNAcentral.
CCUACGGGAGGCAGCAGUGAGGAAUAUUUGUCAAUGGGCGUAAGCCUGAACCAGCCAAGUCGCGUGAGGGAUGAAGGAUCUAUGGAUCGUAAACCUCUUUUAUAAGGGAAUAAAGUGUGGGACGUGUCCUAUUUUGUAUGUACCUUAUGAAUAAGGAUCGGCUAACUCCGUGCCAGCAGCCGCGGUAAUACGGAGGAUCCGGUCGUUAACCGGAUUUAUUGGGUUUAACGGGUACGUAGGCGGCCUUUUAAGUCAGCUGUGAAAGUCUGUGGCUCAACCAUAGCAUUGCCGUUGAAACUGGGGGGCUUGAGUAUGUUUGAGGCAGGCGGAAUGCGUGGUGUAGCGGUGAAAUGCUUAGAGAUCACGCAGAACCCCGAUUGCGAAGGCAGCCUGCCAAGCCAUGACUGACGCUGAUGCACGAAAGCGUGGGGAUCAAACAGGAUUAGAUACCCUGGUAGUC